CCAAUGCAUUGCUCAGUACGGCGAGUGAGCGGCAAAAGCUCAAAUUUUAAAGCUGGCACCUUCGGUGUCCGCGUUGUAAUUUUGUGAGGCAUCUCCGGGUAGGGCGCCGGCCUAAGUUCCUUGGAACAGGACGUCAUAGAGGGUGAGAAUCCCGUGCUUGGCUGGCUGUCCCCGUCCAUGUGAGGUGUCUUCGACGAGUCGAGUUGUUUGGGAAUGCAGCUCAAAAUGGGUGGUAAAUUUCAUCUAAAGCUAAAUAUUGGUGGGAGACCGAUAGCGCACAAGUAGAGUGAUCGAAAGAUGAAAAGCACUUUGAAAAUAGAGUUAAAAAGUACGUGAAAUUGUUGAAAGGGAAGCGCUUGAGACCAGACUUCGGUGGGGAGUGAUCAGCUGUCCUUCUGGGCGGUGCACUUGCUCCCCUCCGGGCCAGCAUCGGUUGGGACGGCGGGAUAAAGGUCCCGGGAAUGUGGCUCCUCUCGGGGAGUGUUAUAGCCCGGGUGAAUGCCGCCAGCCCCGACCGAGGACCGCGCCUUCGGGCUAGGAUGCUUGGCAUAAUGGUCUUCAGCGACCCGUCUUGAACCCCGGACCA
This 586-nucleotide ribosomal RNA is filed under the name Morchella sp. Its description in RNAcentral is "partial large subunit ribosomal RNA". It matches the Rfam family "Eukaryotic large subunit ribosomal RNA", at positions 68 to 668 of the family's 3401-position model. The record is from RNAcentral. Lineage: Eukaryota; Fungi; Ascomycota; Pezizomycetes; Pezizales; Morchellaceae.